GAUGAACGCUGGCGGCGUGCCUAAUACAUGCAAGUCGAGCGAACAGACGAGGAGCUUGCUCCUCUGACGUUAGCGGCGGACGGGUGAGUAACACGUGGAUAACCUACCUAUAAGACUGGGAUAACUUCGGGAAACCGGAGCUAAUACCGGAUAAUAUAUUGAACCGCAUGGUUCAAUAGUGAAAGACGGUCUUGCUGUCACUUAUAGAUGGAUCCGCGCCGCAUUAGCUAGUUGGUAGGGUAACGGCUUACCAAGGCAACGAUGCGUAGCCGACCUGAGAGGGUGAUCGGCCACACUGGAACUGAGACACGGUCCAGACUCCUACGGGAGGCAGCAGUAGGGAAUCUUCCGCAAUGGGCGGAAGCUUGACGGAGCAACGCCGCGUGAGUGAUGAAGGUCUUCGGAUCGUAAAACUCUGUUAUUAGGGAAGAACAAAUGUGUAAGUAACUAUGCACGUCUUGACGGUACCUAAUCAGAAAGCCACGGCUAACUACGUG
RNAcentral lists this ribosomal RNA (497 nucleotides) under uncultured bacterium. RNAcentral describes it as "partial 16S ribosomal RNA". It matches the Rfam family "Bacterial small subunit ribosomal RNA", at positions 28 to 507 of the family's 1533-position model. The record is from RNAcentral.